GAGCUCAUCCCCUUCACCUUGCCCCAGAUUGAGCAGCAGGUUCGGAUCCAUGGCCACGGCGGUGUGAGUGCCCCAAUGUAGAUUCAAGACGCUUGAGGUCGGUGCUCAUUGCGGCUCUUACUCUCGUGCCGACGCCAUGGACGAGGAGAGCAUCUCUCUCUCUCUGAUCGUGAAGCAGCCCCAAUCCUAGCCCUUCUUUGGCCAUGGCGACUGAGCAGGCAGGAGGUACGAACCCCUCCUCGCCUCCCAAAACCAACUCCUGGAUUUCCUGUUGAUGACAGAGGAACAAGGAUGACAGUCAUUCAGUACUUGAAGGACAUAUACAACUGCAAUCUGCGUAUUUUAUUCAACUACAUGAUUGACCAACACUCGUUUCUAUGGCAUGGCAGCAGCUUUUGGUUCUGGCGCUCUAUUCUCCAUUGUUGGCAGAAAUUCUCAAAGACAAAGACACACAAUGAAGAUAUGAACUAUUCUGAAAUAUGUUGAACCAAUUAGGACUUCAAAACUAUGAAAAGAAUUUCAAGAAGGGUCUUCUGACUGAUGAAACAUUGCCUUUUAUCAAUGAAAGGUACAUGUUUUUAAUAUUCCAUUGAGUUCCUGCAAUUACAGAAAAGAAUCAAUCUUUUCUAUAACAAAAUGGCUGUAUGCUUACUGAAAUUUACCAUUCAAAAGUACAUAUGUCUUGCAUUAUCCUCCAGUGCACUCAGAGUUAUGAAUAUCGCCCUUGUUCCAAGGCUUGUCAUACUUGAUCACAUUAAAAGAUUUGGAAUUAUUGCAUAAAUUUCCAGUUUCUGGUGCAUUAGUUUCCUUUAUCUAAUAUCCUUUUUUGCAAUUUUGCAAAGAACCUGGGUUGAUAAAAUCAAAUUGAAGUGAUUGUUUGUCUGUUGGCACCAGUUUUUCUCAAGUUACAUAAACUAUGUUCUGGGAAGUCGGUCCAUUCUAGCUCUUAAAUUUUGUAGAUGUCUCUUAGUUUGAUGUUAUGCACAUAUUGUUCGAUGUCGCUUGUGUUCAGGGUUUCUAUUGGGCACAUAAAAAUAAAGGAUGACGCAUGACACAUUUUAGGUGUACAUUUAUUUCAUAGAUUGAAAGACAGCGGUUGUUUUAGAUGGAGAUGUAUCGGUGAUGCGAUCUCCCUGGUUUGCUGCAUCUAUAGUUAGAGAGUAGUCUGUGCCUCUUCAUCGGGCAUCCUCUGGAGCUUCCCCGAGGUGACAAGUGCUUCCCACGGUGUCUCUCUCUGUUCUUAUUGCUACUGCACACAAGCUACUGACCUUGCAGACCAGGACAUACAUCCUGGUGAGCUCCUUGGUCCUUGACUGGUCCAUCACCGAGGUAUGUAUUCACCACUGACUUCUCUCAGAUCAUAUGCAUGCUCCUUAUAAUCUAGGGAUUAUAGUUCUUCAAAAUAACUGUAUUAUCGGGCCGUGAGGGACCGCUGUUGCUAUAGUCUUUGCAUAGAGCUAGAGAAAACAUAUGAGUUCGACAACUUGCGUUGAGGGAAACUGAUGCAAGCGAAGUGUAUAUACGUCACCAGAAAUUUCCAAAGCAUCGGAUGUUCUGAGAUUGAUCAGAUCAAUUCAACUAAACACAUGCUCCCUAAGCCGCGGAACUCGCGAGUGACAAGGAAACAGUUGCUGCCACCUCGCUCCAGAUCGAGCAGCAGGUCUGAGCCACGGUGGCGAGAGCGGCCCGAUGUGCAGGUUCAAGCUGCGUGAAGAGGGAGGGGGUGCUCGCUAUGGCUCUGACCAUGGAGCCAACCCCAUGGACAAGGAAGCUAGUGAAUUAGGUAAGAAGGCCAAGGAAUUGAAGAAGGCAUCGGAAGCCCUUCACCAAGAAGAGAGAAGUGGGAACAAAGGCAGAAAAUGGCGCAAAAACAUGAAGGCUGUCGAGAAGGCUGAGGCUACCUGGGCUUUUACAUUGCUUGAUUACAUUGGAAAACUCAUAUUCGGCAUUGUUGGAUUAAUUGUAUCGAUUGCUUGGGUAGCACAUAUUAUCAUAUAAUUGUAUCUUCUUUCCCGAAUGAGAUCUUCAUAAAGAUGGACAGUGUUUGGGGUCUGCUUGGGACUGCUGCUUUUGCAUUCUUCUGCUAUCUCCUCAUCGCAGUGAUUGCUGGAGAAAUGAUGCUUGGCCUGAAAUUAGUUUUCAUCAGCAUUCACCCAAUAUGGGGAGGAACGUUGAUGAACUCUUUUUUGUUUAAUGUUGGACUGAUCCUACUUUGUUCCAUCAGUGUGAUUCAGUUCUGCGAGACAGCUUUUGCGUACUAUGCACAAGCAACUGCAGCUCAGGAGAUUUUUGGCCACACGCUGCAGUCUCUUCAUGGAAUUAAUUAAGUAUCUCUACAAAUGGUGCAAGUACAAAAGGUGCAGAAGAUUGUAUGCCUGAGUGAUGCUUGCUUAACCAAACUUAAUUUCUUACUAAGAUGGAUUAAGCCUAAGUGGAGGUAGCAGGAUUGAUGUGUGCAAGCUAGAAGCUAAAAUUUGAACUGAGAUAUGUUAUUAUUCAUGCUUGCACUUUCUCAGAUAUUUUAGUUUAUAGGAAGAAUAAUAGCAGAACCAUUUCUUGUUGCCACACAUUGAAGGAACCAACCGGAAAUAA
Molecule: long non-coding RNA, 2592 nt
Organism: Triticum aestivum (bread wheat)
Lineage: Eukaryota; Viridiplantae; Streptophyta; Magnoliopsida; Poales; Poaceae
Exons: 12
Source: RefSeq, a predicted model, not a curated record